RNAcentral lists this transfer RNA (72 nucleotides) under Sus scrofa (pig). It matches the Rfam family "tRNA". Rfam says of the family: Transfer RNA (tRNA) molecules are approximately 80 nucleotides in length. Their secondary structure includes four short double-helical elements and three loops (D, anti-codon, and T loops). The record is from Rfam by way of RNAcentral. Lineage: Eukaryota; Metazoa; Chordata; Mammalia; Artiodactyla; Suidae.
UCCCUGGUGGUCUAGUGGUUAGGAUUCAGUGCUUUCACUGCUGUGGCCCGGGUUCAAUCCCAGGUCUGGGAA